GCAUCCCUCCUCAGAUCCCGCCGCCCCUCCGCAUCCUCCGCUACUGCCGCUUCUCCAGAUCCAUGCGCCGCGCCCGCCGUCCCCCUCCACUCCCACGCCCUUGCCGAUUCGCUCGUCACCGCCGCUCCUCGUUGACCAAGGGUGUGGGUGCGGCCGCAUCCUCGUCGGUCCCUCCCUACGAGCGCGUGUUGGGGCUGGGGGCCAUGGUUGCCUACAUGCUCUUGGUGGUGAUGCUGCUGGUGGCCGGACUGCACGCGGAGGUGGGGAGACGGGCGGUGUUCGCCAAGCUCAGCGAUGGCGGCCGCGCCUCGGGUGAGGUCGUGUCCUCACCUCACCCGCCCUCCUCCUCGCCAUCCCCGCCCGGCGCCAAACCAUGGGGGCCUGGCCGGAACAGGAUCCAUCCAUGGCAGGCCUAGGUCCGACAGCCUCCUCGGCUUCGUACUGCAAGGCGGCGCUGCAGGGUGCGGGCCGCUCGAGCCAGGCCGGCGCGUGCGUGCCACUCGCCCGCGCCUGAGCCGCUCGCCUACCUGUUCGUGAGCGCAUGGGCCUGCUCGCCCCUUCCACGCAAGCCUGAGGCCUGUUCGCCUGCUCGGGUGCCGUCCAGGCAAGUGGAUCCCUCUGAUUUUUUUUGUUCCCCAUUCAAUUCAAGCCAUUUUACUUCACUUGCACCUCUACUGGAAGCAAAAUCCCUCACGAUUUCUUCUCAAAUGUGCAGUACACGACUGGGAUCUAUGGUCUUUUCUUGGUCAGAGAAUUGCAGAUCUUUUUCCCCUGACUCUUUCCCUCUCUAAUAUGUCACCCAGUAGGAUUCAUUUGUGCUGCUGUGGUAAAGAAAUGAAGAAAAACCUUUCCUUAAAUCCCUGUAUGCAUGUUCCUUUCGAUUUCAUAGUGUGUAUAUCUGAUUGGUGAUUUUGUUCUCUUUUUACUACGUAUUUUGGAUGCCACUGAUGCCGUGUGAACAAACUGAGCCUAUGUUAUUUUUCAGUUUUCACUUUUGUAGCAUUUUUAUAGAUGGCUUUUGAAGUAAAUAAUUUCUCCACUUCUAUAGAUGCAUUUUGAACAAUCUGAGCAUUUGUUUUGAAUAAUAGAACCUGAAUUUCUAUCUACUGCAUCUGGUCUAUCGCAAAACAUUGCUCCACGAACUAGUAUAUGUUCUCUGGUUAAAUGAUUCCAUUUACCUGAUAGCAGUUAUUUACAGAUAAUUAUAGAUUGUUUUAGACCUUGUGUUUUUAUUGCCACUAUCAAAUGCACAUGCUUUAUCUUCGGUCAGUGAGAUUACUGUCAGAUAGUGUUCUUGAACAUUGAUAUAUUUUGGAUCUAUACUUGUAACAUGAUUACAGCAAGUUUUUUCUGAAACUAUAGGUUUAUUUGUUGGCUGAGGGAUAUAACUAGAGCUUUAUUUCCUUUUUCUCUUAUAAAUGAAUAAAUGAGUUUUAUUUGUGAAUAUGACUAGUGGAGAGUUUAUGUUCAAAAUUCACCUUAGCAGCUAUGUCACUUUGUUUGGACUUAAAUCUGAUGAGAUGACUAAACUAAUCUUAAGUAUUUCUUUUCCCUUGUCAGGUUGCAUUACUACCGAGCAAGCUGAGCGUGAAAACCUAUGUGAUCUAUUGUUGGUGUUGCAGGUCUUGUUAGUGCUCUCGAACAUUUGCUCCUUUGCUUCUGGAAUCAAAUUGCUACUUGUAUCAGGUGCUUGGAUUUUUGGUGCUGUAGGUCCUGCUGGUGUGUAUUUUAGGUUGUUGUAUCUCUUUUCAAUGUAAACAUGAGAUUGUAUCUCUUAUUUUGGGCUGCUAAAAUUUUAUAUGUAUUUUAGGCUGUAAUGAUCAUUCUAGUGUAUGGUAUGAGAAAUUGGAUUGAAUUCUGGUGUAUGGUAUGAGAAAUUGGAUUGAAUUGAUGAGCUCAAUUUUUAA
Panicum virgatum (switchgrass) is the source of this 1907-nucleotide long non-coding RNA. RefSeq lists it as uncharacterized. Lineage: Eukaryota; Viridiplantae; Streptophyta; Magnoliopsida; Poales; Poaceae. The record is from RefSeq and is a predicted model, not a curated record. The transcript has 2 exons.